GGAGAAAUUGCUGUCUAACAGAUCCUUUGUGGACUUCCGACCAAAACCAUCCAGAGCACCAUAUGCUCCAGGUGUGGUGCUCGAUGGAUUGUUGAAGACCAAGAUUUCCUUUGUCGACCAGGAAUAAAAUCCAUGUUUCCCUCCAAUACAGAGAACAGUCAGAAGGAAAGGUGUAGCACAGCUGACCAAAACCCAGAAUCAUCUGCACUAUGGGCAUCUCCCACUGCAUCAUUCAGGACCCCAGGUUUAAAGCUCUUCCCAUGGGGACCACAUAUCAUGAGGAGGCAAUGGAGGACUGUGGCAGCACAGGGCUGUGCAAGGUGAACACUCACCUGAGCAUGGAGCAAGAUUAUAAAGGACAGAGUGCAGCUGGUGCAGGAUUUUCUGGGCUCCCUGACUUUCUUACGUGUUUGACUUGGGUACAGCAGGAUUUUGAGUGCCCACCUGUUUUGCAGGGGGAGGUGGGCACCAGCUGGCUGAGAUGAUGGUACUGAUUCAGCU
RNAcentral lists this long non-coding RNA (501 nucleotides) under Manacus vitellinus (golden-collared manakin). Its description in RNAcentral is "lncRNA (ENSMVIG00005002908.1)". The record is from RNAcentral. Lineage: Eukaryota; Metazoa; Chordata; Aves; Passeriformes; Pipridae.